CCUACGAGGGGCAGCAGUGGGGAAUAUUGGACAAUGGGGGGAACCCUGAUCCAGCCAUGCCGCGUGUGUGAAGAAGGCCCUCGGGUUGUAAAGCACUUUCAGUGAGGAAGAACGCCUGGUGGUUAAUACCCAUCAGGAAAGACAUCACUCACAGAAGAAGCACCGGCUAACUCCGUGCCAGCAGCCGCGGUAAUACGGAGGGUGCGAGCGUUAAUCGGAAUUACUGGGCGUAAAGCGCGCGUAGGUGGCUUGAUAAGCCGGUUGUGAAAGCCCCGGGCUCAACCUGGGAACGGCAUCCGGAACUGUCAAGCUAGAGUGCAGGAGAGGAAGGUAGAAUUCCCGGUGUAGCGGUGAAAUGCGUAGAGAUCGGGAGGAAUACCAGUGGCGAAGGCGGCCUUCUGGACUGACACUGACACUGAGGUGCGAAAGCGUGGGUAGCAAACAGGAUUAGAUACCCUUGUAGUC
This 465-nucleotide ribosomal RNA is filed under the name Vreelandella stevensii. Its description in RNAcentral is "partial 16S ribosomal RNA". It matches the Rfam family "Bacterial small subunit ribosomal RNA", at positions 338 to 795 of the family's 1533-position model. Lineage: Bacteria; Pseudomonadati; Pseudomonadota; Gammaproteobacteria; Oceanospirillales; Halomonadaceae. The record is from RNAcentral.